AAAUUGACGAUGAAAGGGACAGUACAAUUUUUCUAUGGCUUUAAGAAGCGAACUGGGGAUGGUGAAAGCCUGGUAAAGCCGAAAGAUUGGAACAUCACCCUCGAGUUCCGGACCGAAGCCUUAUUUUUUAGGUAGUAGACUCUGGCGUGUUAUUCACGUUACGAAUGGUCAAGCGGAUUGGUCGAAGCAUGUCGGCUUAUCUAUCAGGGUGGUACCGCGGGAAUCAAACCUUCUCGUCCCUUUU
This 244-nucleotide non-coding RNA is filed under the name Neobacillus bataviensis. Its description in RNAcentral is "Bacillus bataviensis T-box sequence". It matches the Rfam family "T-box leader". Rfam says of the family: Uncharged tRNA acts as the effector for transcription antitermination of genes in the T-box leader family. T-boxes are found upstream of many aminoacyl-tRNA synthetase genes and some amino acid biosynthetic genes usually in Gram-positive bacteria. Lineage: Bacteria; Bacillati; Bacillota; Bacilli; Caryophanales; Bacillaceae. The record is from RNAcentral.